This 383-nucleotide ribosomal RNA is filed under the name uncultured organism. RNAcentral describes it as "partial 16S ribosomal RNA". It matches the Rfam family "Bacterial small subunit ribosomal RNA", at positions 527 to 897 of the family's 1533-position model. The record is from RNAcentral.
GUAGGUGGCAAGCGUUGUCCGGAAUUAUUGGGGCGUAAAGCGCGCGCAGGUGGUUCGUUUAAGUCUGAUGUGAAAGCCCCCCCGGGCUCAACCCGGGGGAGGGGUCAUUGGAAACUGGGGAACUUGAGUGCAGGAGAGGAAAGUGGAAUUCCACGUGUAGCGGUGAAAUGCGUAGAUAUGUGGAGGAACACCAGUGGCGAAGGCGACUUUCUGGCCUGUAGCUGACACUGAGGCGCGAAAGCGUGGGGAGCAAACAGGAUUAGAUACCCUGGUAGUCCACGCCGUAAACGAUGAGUGCUAAGUGUUCGGGGGGGUUUCCGCCCCUCAGUGCUGCAGCUAACGCAUUAAGCACUCCGCCUGGGGAGUACGGUCGCAAAGACUGA